RNAcentral lists this ribosomal RNA (303 nucleotides) under uncultured bacterium. RNAcentral's name for it is "partial 16S ribosomal RNA". It matches the Rfam family "Bacterial small subunit ribosomal RNA", at positions 507 to 808 of the family's 1533-position model. The record is from RNAcentral.
AGCAGUCGCCGCGGUAUACGUAGGUGGCAAGCGUUGUCCGGAAUUAUUGGGCGUAAAGGGCUCGCAGGCGGUUUCUUAAGUCUGAUGUGAAAGCCCCCGGCUCAACCGGGGAGGGUCAUUGGAAACUGGGAAACCUGAGUGCAGAAGAGGAGAGUGGAAUUCCACGUGUAGCGGUGAAAUGCGUAGAGAUGUGGAGGAACACCAGUGGCGAAGGCGACUCUCUGGUCUGUAACUGACGCUGAGGAGCGAAAGCGUGGGGAGCGAACAGGAUUAGAUACCCGCGUAGUCCCUGUCUCUUAUACA